UCACUACUUGCGUAGGCAGUCUUCUUAGAGUGCCCAGCAUUACCUGUUGGCAACUAAGAACGAGGGUUGCGCUCGUUGCGGGACUUAACCCAACACCUCACGGCACGAGCUGACGACAGCCAUGCAGCACCUGUGCAAGCUCACCUUGCGGUACCCUGACUUUCAUCAGGUUUAGCUUGCGUUUCAAGCCUAGGUAAGGUUCUUCGCGUUGCGUCGAAUUAAACCACAUGCUCCACUGCUUGUGCGGGCCCCCGUCAAUUCCUUUGAGUUUCAACCUUGCGACCGUACUCCCCAGGCGGAGUGCUAAAUGCGUUAACGACGGCACCGCAGGGGUCAAUACCCGCGACACCUAGCACUCAACGUUUACGGCGUGGACUAC
RNAcentral lists this unclassified non-coding RNA (379 nucleotides) under uncultured bacterium. Its description in RNAcentral is "contains 16S-23S intergenic spacer region". The record is from RNAcentral.